This 601-nucleotide ribosomal RNA is filed under the name uncultured bacterium. RNAcentral's name for it is "bacterial SSU rRNA". The stretch from base 1 to 526 matches the Rfam family "Bacterial small subunit ribosomal RNA", at positions 338 to 873 of the family's 1533-position model. The record is from RNAcentral.
CCUACGGGAGGCAGCAGUGGGGAAUAUUGCACAAUGGGCGCAAGCCUGAUGCAGCGACGCCGCGUGAGGGAUGACGGCCUUCGGGUUGUAAACCUCUUUCAGUAGGGAAGAAGCGAAAGUGACGGUACCUGCAGAAGAAGCGCCGGCUAACUACGUGCCAGCAGCCGCGGUAAUACGUAGGGCGCAAGCGUUAUCCGGAAUUAUUGGGCGUAAAGAGCUCGUAGGCGGUUUGUCGCGUCUGCCGUGAAAGUCCGGGGCUCAACUCCGGAUCUGCGGUGGGUACGGGCAGACUAGAGUGAUGUAGGGGAGACUGGAAUUCCGUGGUGUAGCGGUGAAAUGCGCAGAUAUCAGGAGGAACACCGAUGGCGAAGGCAGGUCUCUGGGCAUUAACUGACGCUGAGGAGCGAAAGCAUGGGGAGCGAACAGGAUUAGAUACCCUGGUAGUCCAUGCCGUAAACGUUGGGCACUAGGUGUGGGGGACAUUCCACGUUUUCCGCGCCGUAGCUAACGCAUUAAGUGCCCCGCCUGGGGAGGUACGGCCGCGAGACGUAAACUAAUAGAGUAGACGCGUGAGAGNGCGACGACGACGACGAGGGAGAGG